AGAGGUUUUUUCCCUUAGAAAAUACUUAGCUUUUUCCUUGUUGGGUUGCUGAGACAUUACUGCGUUGUCAGAGUUGCUGUUUUUGAAUAGGAGGCCGAAUGACAGUGCAUACUGCUCGUAGUAUAUUGCAUUCGUCUACCUUUUUGUCCUUUCUGGAAUGCCGUGAUCAAAUUUGAUUAGAUAGAAAAGGGAGAGAGCAACAUUUCGUGUAUUUUGAAAUCGCACUAUAUGUCUGGUAAACGAUAGUUAUUUUUUCAUCUUUUGUGGAUCUUAACCCUGGAAGAGUGAGCUAGCUCCCUUUGCGCUCAAGAAGUCCUUGCUAUCGAGUCGCUGAACUUCUGAUACGAGUUGUGAACCAUGUAUAAUUCUCAUCCGUGCUUAGGGUACUUCUGGGUCUGCAUGAAAGAAGGUUGAGUUGAGGGGCGUGAUCACCUGGCUUAUGGAUAUUUCGAGGUUCUACGAGGUGGCAGUUGUUCAAGUGGAGGGCUACCAUAAGUUCGUCCACAAGGAGGCAGAAGCUGCGGCUUCAAUAUCAGCCACCAGGACCUGCUCCUUGACAUGGCCAAGAUCCACAACCACCUUCUCGGCCGGUUUGAAGAGUCUGAGCUGGCCAUCUGCGACAAGGAUAGGAUUCAAUGGAGAGAUCGGAAACCAAGUGGAGGCUGCGGCAUGCUAUGGAGCUGAAAGAAAGAGAAGUUGGAGUCUCUGAGGACAAAAAGUGAGGGAUUUGAUUAGAGCGAGGAAGAGCACAACCUUCUCAUGUGAUACAAGCCUCAUGGAGCAGCAGGAGAGGCAGGCCAUCGAAAAAGAUGUUACUGCUUCUUGUUACUGCUUCUUUGAUCAAAGGGUCCAUUUGGGAUGUUCAGCAAAGUCUCGAGACUGAAAUUUAUGGGUGGUCGAGAAGAGAAGAUGGAGAAUGUUGAUCUAUACAAUUGAAGUCUAUGAACUCAAGCAAGAAAACGAGUCGAAGCUUCGGGAGAGGACAAUAAGCAGGCUUUAUGUAGAUCUCUUACAUGUUCAGAAGUGAAGAAACAGAAUGUUCAUCACUGAUUUCUCUUUCGAAUUUGAGUUAGUCAUUGUUGAGAUAUUACCUUUGCAAAUUGGUUUUGAUAGAUUAAGUGCAUGUGCACUAUAUCUCAAGGACAAAGUCUAAGGGAGUUCUUUGAUUGAAAUAAGCUAUAAAUACACUAAUGCAGCUUAUUGAUGAAAAGAAUUGCCAAGUAAAAGAUAUAGUUAAUUGGAAUUAUAUAGCAUCUAACGAGUUAUUUUAG
This is a non-coding RNA of Punica granatum (pomegranate), 1271 nucleotides long. NCBI's taxonomy places the organism in Eukaryota, Viridiplantae, Streptophyta, Magnoliopsida, Myrtales, Lythraceae. The record is from RefSeq and is a predicted model, not a curated record.